RNAcentral lists this ribosomal RNA (160 nucleotides) under uncultured bacterium. RNAcentral describes it as "partial 16S ribosomal RNA". The record is from RNAcentral.
CACGUAGUUAGCCGGUGCUUAUUCUUCCGGUACCGUCAUCCCCCGACUGUAUUAGAGCCAAGGAUUUCUUUCCGGACAAAAGUGCUUUACAACCCGAAGGCCUUCUUCACACACGCGGCAUUGCUGGAUCGGGCUUUCGCCCAUUGUCCAAAAUUCCCCA